UCUUCAAACCUCACUCAGUCAGUGGAGGCAUCUGCAGACCUCCAUCACAUGACAGAGUCACACUCAGUGAUGUGAUGUAAGAUCCCAGAGACCAUAUCUAAAAUUCGUCAUAGUCAGCCUGACAAGUCAUAAUGAUCGGCUUUCUCCUCUUCGGUUGUCUGGCAGGUGUUAGUCUGGGUCUUGAUGUGCGUCAGUCUCCCUCUGAGCUCAUCAAAUCUCCUGGAGACAAAGUGCAGCUCUCCUGCAGCCACGACAGAACAGACUACAGAUUGAUUCUCUGGUACCAGCGCUCACCUGGAGACACAGCUCUGAAACUCAUUGGGUAUUUGUAUUUUAAAGAUGCCACAAUGGAGGAGCCAUUUAAAGAUGAUUUUGUCAUGUCUGGAGAUCUGGGUGGGAGUGCAGCAAAGAAUGCCUCUCUAAUAUUCAAAGCUGUGAAACCAGAGCACGGUGCAGUUUACUACUGUGCAGCGAGAGAAGCACGCUGACAGGAAUCCCCUCUGAACUUUACAAAAACUCUGAACCAUCUUCUUUCAUGAGACGUGGAAUAAACUGCUCAGACACACCUGCAUUUGUGGUUGUAUUUUGGUUUGAUGCAAUCAUUUCAUCAUCAGCAAAUACACUUGUGUUUGUAUUUGUUUGGUUUAUU
This is a non-coding RNA of Gymnodraco acuticeps, 649 nucleotides long. Lineage: Eukaryota; Metazoa; Chordata; Actinopteri; Perciformes; Bathydraconidae. The record is from the annotation of a RefSeq genome assembly.